RNAcentral lists this ribosomal RNA (505 nucleotides) under uncultured bacterium. RNAcentral describes it as "partial 16S ribosomal RNA". It matches the Rfam family "Bacterial small subunit ribosomal RNA", at positions 29 to 523 of the family's 1533-position model. The record is from RNAcentral.
AGUGAACGCUGCGGUAGGCCUAACACAUGCAAGUCGAACGGCAGCACAGGAGAGCUUGCUCUCUGGGUGGCGAGUGGCGGACGGGUGAGGAAUACAUCGGAAUCUACUCUGUCGUGGGGGAUAACGUAGGGAAACUUACGCUAAUACCGCAUACGACCUACGGGUGAAAGCAGGGGACCUUCGGGCCUUGCGCGAUUGCAUGAGCCGAUGUCGGAUUAGCUAGUUGGCGGGGUAAAGGCCCACCAAGGCGACGAUCCGUAGCUGGUCUGAGAGGAUGAUCAGCCACACUGGAACUGAGACACGGUCCAGACUCCUACGGGAGGCAGCAGUGGGGAAUAUUGGACAAUGGGCGCAAGCCUGAUCCAGCCAUACCGCGUGGGUGAAGAAGGCCUUCGGGUUGUAAAGCCCUUUUGUUGGGAAAGAAAUCCAGCUGGCUAAUACCCGGUUGGGAUGACGGUACCCAAAGAAUAAGCACCGGCUAACUUCGUGCCAGCCGCCGCCGUAA